Molecule: unclassified non-coding RNA, 300 nt
Filed under: uncultured fungus
Lineage: Eukaryota; Fungi
Description: sequence contains 5.8S rRNA gene, ITS2
Rfam family: 5.8S ribosomal RNA (bases 1-62)
Source: RNAcentral
GUGAAUCAUCGAAUCUUUGAACGCACAUUGCACUCCUUUGGAGUAUGCCUGUUUGAGAAUCUAUAGUAAUUAUUUCCGGUUCAGUUAUUCGUAACUGGGCAGGAAGAUUUGAGACUUCUCCCCGUUUGGGCGAGUAUCUUUAAACUUAUAGCCUCUUUUGUGGUGAAUUCCUCUACAGAACAGUAUUUGAAUGGAACUAACGUUUCUCCUAAUGCCAAUUAAGUAGAGUCGCCUAUUGAAAAGGGGGUCCAUAAACUGAAAGUCAGUCUCUCGGGACUGGCUUGAACCAUGGUCUCAAAU